This 438-nucleotide ribosomal RNA is filed under the name uncultured bacterium. Its description in RNAcentral is "bacterial SSU rRNA". It matches the Rfam family "Bacterial small subunit ribosomal RNA", at positions 8 to 447 of the family's 1533-position model. The record is from RNAcentral.
AGAGUUUGAUCCUGGCUCAGAUUGAACGCUGGCGGCAUGCCUUACACAUGCAAGUCGAACGGCAGCACGGGGGCAACCCUGGUGGCGAGUGGCGAACGGGUGAGUAAUACAUCGGAACGUGUCCUGUAGUGGGGGAUAGCCCGGCGAAAGCCGGAUUAAUACCGCAUACGAUCUACGGAAGAAAGUGGGGGAUCGCAAGACCCUCGCGCUAUAGGGGCGGCCGAUGGCAGAUUAGCUAGUUGGUGGGGUAAAGGCCUACCAAGGCGACGAUCUGUAGCUGGUCUGAGAGGACGACCAGCCACACUGGGACUGAGACACGGCCCAGACUCCUACGGGAGGCAGCAGUGGGGAAUUUUGGACAAUGGGGGAAACCCUGAUCCAGCAAUGCCGCGUGUGUGAAGAAGGCCUUCGGGUUGUAAAGCACUUUUGUCCGGAAAG